Molecule: ribosomal RNA, 278 nt
Filed under: uncultured prokaryote
Description: partial 16S ribosomal RNA
Rfam family: Bacterial small subunit ribosomal RNA
Source: RNAcentral
CACGGGGGUUGCGAGCGUUGUCCGGAAUUACUAGGCGUAAAGGGCAGGCAGGCGGAUCCAUAAGUUUAUCGUUUAAGGCGUCGGCUUAACCGGCGUAGGGCGGUAGAUACUGUGGAUCUGGAAUGCGGUUGGGGAAGACAGAAUUCCUGGUGUAGCGGUGGAAUGCGUAGAGAUCAGGAGGAAUACCGGAGGCGAAGGCGGCCUGCUGGACAAAUACUGACGCUGAGGCACGAAAGCGUGGGGAGCAAACAGGAUUAGAUACCCGCGUAGUCCCUGAG